RNAcentral lists this long non-coding RNA (521 nucleotides) under Mytilus galloprovincialis (Mediterranean mussel). The record is from RNAcentral. Lineage: Eukaryota; Metazoa; Mollusca; Bivalvia; Mytilida; Mytilidae.
GACGAAGAGUACAAUAGUGUGGUAACAACCUCAUUCUAGUCAUUAGUUUCAUAGAAUAAAGACUCAAGGUUAAUGACAGUUGGACACAGAAACUUCUCUACAGUUAAGACCAUGUAACUGUCAUUUGAGAGAUACCCAUCAUAUCAUGUAGUUUUUAAUGUAAUCAGCUUCAGAAACGAGGAAUUCGUCAAUUCACCAGCAUUGAUGUAAGCCAGGGAUAACUUUCCAUCAUCAGUAGCAAAUUACAAUGUGAUGGGAAACAAUUUUAUAGCCCUUUUUUUUUUAACAAUAAAACGUGCAUGUAUUUUACUUUUAUUAUUUCCCAAUAUUUUGAAAUGAAGGGUGGAUUUGAAUUGCACACCAUGUUCAAACCAUGUAUUAAACAACCCACUGGAUGUCUAUUAAGUUUUUAAGAAUUGGGAUUCACUAACUUGUUAAAAGUAUUAAAUUCAAUGUUAACAGCUUCAGUUCGAGGAAUUCGUUAGUUCACCAGCAUUGAUGUAAGCCAGGGAUAACUUAUG